GUAGAAAACACCUUCGAGCGCGUGCAGAGAAUAACCUCGCGAGCGAGGAAGUUCACGUCUCGCAAGCGAGCAAAUAUCUCGCUCGAGACGGACUUUUGCUGGUGGAUGUUUGAUUUACGCGCAUCAACCUGAUUUGCGCUCUCGAAUUCUUACAGUGAUUUGCGCUGAUAGACUGCAGUAUCUUAUGCGCCUUAUUGUGCGGAAAACACGGCACAUGAGCGCCGGAGAAAAUGGUACACAAAACAUACAUUGUCGGUUAAUACAUUUUUAAUCGGUUAAAUUCUUAAGGUCAUUUAAUCAUUCCUAGUUUAUGUUUUGAUCAGAGUUGGGAUGGGCUCUAACUAAGAGCCCAUCAUGUAUCACGUAUGACGCUCUAAGUAAGAGCCCAUCAUUUCUAGCCCUUUGACAAAUAUCCAUCCAAGACCAGUCCCACCACCUUCAGCCCCCCCACCCUGGGCAUUUCCACUGGUUAUGCUACUUUUCAGGUUGAAGCGCUUCAGUAAUUUGUUUCCUAUCUCAGUGACAGCAGCAUCAUUUUCAUCACACUGCAGUAAUCCACGUGUCUCAUGGUAGAAAACGUUGACAUGCAACACAACAUUGGCGUGAACAUCCCAUGUUUUCAUAGUUGACGUUGCCUUGACUUGGUGUGUGUGGUGCAUCAACACCAGAAUGACAGGUUUAUCAUCUGAGCACAACAAGAGAGAGACGUUAGCAAAAGAUCAUCCUUUACCAACACAAUAAGUUCACUACUAAACUUUGAUUAUUUGUCAAAAAGAACUUUCUUAUUCAAAAUUCUAUCCAAAUGAAAUCCUUCCCUCACCUUUAACAUCAGACAUGGCUGCCUCAACGUCUGACGCAACGCAUGAACUGAUGGGACAGAAGACAAAAGUGACCGAGUGGUUGUCUGCAUCGUCUUCACAACUCUGGAUCUGAUUCUGAACUUGUUUCUUUAUUUUCUUCAUCAGCGUCAGGUGGGCGUCAAACGUUUUACCGCCGACAACCAUCUUGUACGACGUGGCUGUAGAAAGAGAAAUGGCUGUGAGUGUGAAACAGAUUAAUACAUUUACAAGAACAGUAAAAUAUAAUCAUUCUUUAAAUAUGUUUGAUGCAUAGUUCAGAAAAACAAUGACAAAGAUGAAAGUUGAAUGAUACAUUCAGUGUCCCUGUAAAGACAUGCUGAACACAAGAUGUGCCACAAAAGCAUUUAUUU
Molecule: long non-coding RNA, 1210 nt
Organism: Gasterosteus aculeatus aculeatus (three-spined stickleback)
Lineage: Eukaryota; Metazoa; Chordata; Actinopteri; Perciformes; Gasterosteidae
Source: Ensembl